This is a long non-coding RNA of Dermochelys coriacea (leatherback sea turtle), 409 nucleotides long. RefSeq lists it as uncharacterized. The transcript has 3 exons. Lineage: Eukaryota; Metazoa; Chordata; Testudines; Dermochelyidae. The record is from RefSeq and is a predicted model, not a curated record.
UCUUGACUUUGGGGAACUGAAUAUGGUUACCAUAGGUCUGGAACAGACUGGUAACUGCAGGGUACUCCACAGAACAUGGAAGUCAUAAGUUAGGUCAAGGGUAAUGGUUUUGGGGAUGAGAUAAUUGAUAUUAAUCCAUAUAAUAUAUGUCAUAAUAUGUUAACCUACAGAGUAAGUCUACCCGGAGAUUUAUCUGGGUGAGGAAAUAAGAUUUGGGCAUGGUAGGUUGGGCUUUGAUUAAGGCAGUACUAGGACCCUAUAAGAGGGCAAACAACUAUGCAGGGUGGUCGCUCUUUCCUAUCUUCUAUCAGGCUAUCGGCUCAGCUUUGCAAUAUAGCUUAGCUACUCAACACUUGAACCUGAUCCCUACCAACCUGGAAAGCUUGGACCAUCAAAUUCAUUGGGCAUG